GAAUAUUGCCCAAUGGGGGAAACCCUGAGGCAGCAACGCCGCGUGAACGAAGAAGGCCUUCGGGUUGUAAAGUUCUUUUCUUAAGGAAGAUCGUGACGGUACUUAAGGAAUAAGCUCCGGCUAACUACGUGCCAGCAGCCGCGGUAAAACGUAGGGGGCGAGCGUUAUCCGGAUUUACUGGGCGUAAAGAGCGCGUAGGCGGUUUGGCAAGUUAAGCGUGAAAGCUCCCGGCUUAACUGGGAGAGGUCGUUUAAGACUGUCAAGCUCGAGGUUGAAAGAGGAGCGUGGAAUUCCCGGUGUAGUGGUGGAAUGCGUAGAUAUCGGGAGGAACACCAGUGGCGAAAGCGACGCUCUGGUUCAGACCUGACGUUGAGGCGCGAAAGCGUGGGGAGCGAACGGG
This 400-nucleotide ribosomal RNA is filed under the name uncultured bacterium. Its description in RNAcentral is "bacterial SSU rRNA". It matches the Rfam family "Bacterial small subunit ribosomal RNA", at positions 359 to 776 of the family's 1533-position model. The record is from RNAcentral.